Molecule: transfer RNA, 72 nt
Filed under: Loxodonta africana (African savanna elephant)
Lineage: Eukaryota; Metazoa; Chordata; Mammalia; Proboscidea; Elephantidae
Rfam family: tRNA
About the family: Transfer RNA (tRNA) molecules are approximately 80 nucleotides in length. Their secondary structure includes four short double-helical elements and three loops (D, anti-codon, and T loops).
Source: Rfam by way of RNAcentral
GCAGAGGUGAUUCAGUGGUAGAAUUCUCACCUUUCAAUUCAGGGGAGCUGGGUUCGAUUCCUAGCCAAUGCA